UCAAGCCAACUUGACAAACAUGAAUAACAUUUAUAAACCCACAAGCUAAAUAAAUUAUACAAUCAGAAUUACAACUAUUCACCACAAGUUCAUAUCGUCAUAAAUUAGACUUAACAUUCCGAAAUUCCAAAUAAGAGAGAUCUUCUAACACUUUUACACAGUAUAUUCAUUUUGAUUCAUCAACAACAUUUCAUUACAUACAAAAUAUGCUUAUACAACAAUAACAUAACAACCAACAAGACUUGCCGAUAAUUCUGAAUAGCUAUCCAUCCACUGCCUCAGCCCAAAUCAAACAUCUCGAAGAGUGACAAGCUGACCUGAAAGAUUUAUAUAACAACGGAGUGAGCCAAAAACGGCUCAGCAAGUGACAAAAUAUAUUCAGAACAAAAGGAACGGUUUCAAACGAGUAAGGUAUCAUAAUGUAAGACAGAAAACAAGAAUUCUCAAGGAUACCAUCUCAUUAGAUACAAAAUCAUAUGUAUCAUGUCAUUCAAAACAUAUUUGAUUCAUAAUAAAUGGAGCAUAGAGUAAUUGGAGCAUAUCAAUGGCAGAUAGGACAUUUCAGAACAUAUCAGUUCAUAGCAAAUGGAGCACAGAGUAAUUGGAGCAUAUCAACGGCAUAUGGAACAUUUCGAAGCAUAUCAACAGUGAAUGAAACAUUUCAGAGCAUAUCAAAAACAAAUACCGUACAAAAGCUCAAACGUCGCCCUUGACGUUGCAAUCAUAUCAUUCUUAUCCAGAGCAUGAACAGAAACAACUCACCAAAACUCUGGAUGUCAUAUCAAACAUAUAGAAGGUGUAGUGGGAUCUCAGUCAGAAUAUGAUUCAUCCAUUUCUGAAUGACCACCUGACAAAAGUCUCCCACGUCUGGGAGCUCCAUCCACCCACGUCUAGGUGAAGUCAGAGGGGGCCGGUAGAGCAUCGCAGGCUCUAAGCACAUACCCUUUACCAUUUCUGGCAAAGGUUCAGAAUAUCCCACAGAGCGGGCAAUAAGCACAUACCCUUUACCAUUUCUAGCAAAGGUCCAGACAAUCCCACAACCACUAGAGUACAAGAAGGUAGUUUUAACAAUAAGUAGCAUAUAUUGGAAGCACACGCGGAACAACAAAACGUACAUGUGCCUUUUCGAGACAAUACGAAACAAAGAACAAAUCUCUCACAAAUGUAUUCAGAUUUGGAAUGAAUUGGAAUAGGCACAUAUCGGAAGCAAAUGCGGAACAAUGGGAUACACAUGUGCCUAUGUGAGUCAAUACGAUAUAGCAUAAACGUUACACAAUAGUUUUCAAGAAUGCAAUUAAUUUUAAGGACAAGAGCAUACAAGAAUUCAAAGCAGUAAUAUAAAGCUCAAUUGAAUAAGAAGGCUAAAGGAUAUCAAUUUCCAAAGGAAUGAAACCAGAAUAUGAGAAAUCGACCAAAGCUCGAUCGUCGUCCUGGACGUUGCAAUCAUAUCAUUCUUAUCCAGAGCAUGUACAAAAACACAUAACCAAAGCUCUGGAUAUCAUAUCAAACAUAUAGAUGGUGUAGUGGGACCUCAAACAGAACGUGAUACAUCCAUUUCUGAAUGACCACCAGACAUAAUCUAGAGCAUCGCAGGCUCUAAGCACAUACCCUUUACCAUUCCUGGCAAAGGUCCAGAAUAACACCCUUUACCAUUUCUGGCAAAGGUCCAAACAGUCCCACAAACACCAGAGUACAAAAGGGCAGUAUGAACAAUAAAUAGCAUAUAUCGGAAGCACACGCGGAACAACAAACGUACAUGUGCCUUUACGAGUCAAAUAUGAUGCAAGCAACAAUCUCUCACAAAUGUAUUCAGAUUUGGAAUGAAAUGAAAGCAAGAGUAUACAGGGAUUCCAAACAAUCAUAUUUAGCUCAAUUCAAAUAAGAAAGCUAAAGAAUAUCAAUUUCCAAAGGAAUGAAACCAGAAUAUGAGAAAUCGACCAAAGCUCGAUUUCUGGCAGAAUACAAGAGGCACAUUGAACAAAUGAUUCGAACUAUCAAUCGUGCUCCAAUUUACUCAGAAAUAAUCAUUGGAUUAUACUUUCAGAUAAGACAGGCUUCAUAUGAAUUGAACUGUCCAACAGAGAGAGUUACAAAUAGUUUGGUAAACCAGGGUCACAGAACAAAAUCUUUGUUUGGCAGAAUUCAUAAGGUCAGAUUCAACAGAUAACUGGGCAGGUGUUUGGAUUCCAGAUCUUUCAAUCCAUAUUUCAAAAGAAGGAUCUACGAGUCUAGUUUCCAAUGAAAUCAAGUUUGAACAAAUCGGAGUUUCCAACAGACUUAUAGGCAGCUCGGUAUCAAAAGGUCAGAAUCUCAGAAGUUGCACAGAUUCGAAUCGUUACGUCUAAAUAGGAAAUAUAUCAAAUGCAAGGCUAGAACAAUUCAAAGUUCCUCAUAUUCAAAGCAAAUGUAGAGAUAAAAUUGCAGUGAGGAACGAUCAGGAUACUUGCAAUAGGAAAGAUUAGAACAAUUACAGGCGGAACGAUCGGGAAACUUGCAAUAAGAAAAGUUAGAGCAAUUAUAGGAGGAACGAUCAGGGAACUUGCAAUAGAAAGGAUCGAAACAAGCUGGAAACUUGCCUUUCAAAGAUUUCGAUCCGAAGAUCCAAAGAAGGUGCCAGCCCAAAUCCUUCUACUUUUCCUCCGUGUCCUCUCUCUGUUUCGUUUUGUGCUCCCGUUUUCUUCCUUUCUUCGCAACUACACCACGUGUCGAACAUCGAGGCACAGUCACCUGCUUUCUCUUACUCUCAUUCCUUCUUUUUCUUUCCCAAACGCAGCUGCCACAGUCGCCGCCGCUGCCGCUGCCACAAUCGCAGCCGCUGUCGCUGCCACAAUCGCAACCCCUUCCACCGCACUACCUUCCUUCCUCCCUUCUCUCGCAGACAUAACUACUGCAUACGCAGUCGCUGCCGCUGCGGCCGCAAUCCCGUCCGCAGCCCCUUUUUCCCCCUUUCCUUUCUUUUCUUUCCCAGCUGCAACUGCCGCAGUCGCAGUCGCAACCAUGGCUGCAGCCG
Molecule: long non-coding RNA, 3010 nt
Filed under: Musa acuminata (dwarf banana)
Lineage: Eukaryota; Viridiplantae; Streptophyta; Magnoliopsida; Zingiberales; Musaceae
Description: long non-coding RNA (MACU_LNC010702)
Source: RNAcentral